Molecule: long non-coding RNA, 7745 nt
Organism: Rhopalosiphum padi (bird cherry-oat aphid)
Lineage: Eukaryota; Metazoa; Arthropoda; Insecta; Hemiptera; Aphididae
Exons: 5
Source: RefSeq, a predicted model, not a curated record
GAAUGACGUUUUUUCUAAUUUGGCGGAAAACGGAAAGGUCAUUUUUGGCGGAAACCGGCGACACCCGUUUGUAGACUGAGUAAAAUUAAUUGUUUUUAAGAUUUAUUAAAAUUAUUAGCAUUUAAAAGUUUAGAUUUGAUUUUUUUUGGUUUUUAAAGGAUUAACAUCGAAAUUCAAUACUUCCUCUCCUAAACAGAAGAUUUUAUACCCACUUAAAUACUGGACAUCGCAGUGCUAUAAAAACGCAUAGGAAUUAAAUCACUGUGCCUAGGGCCAAGGCUGCAACUGAAAAAAAAUUCAGAGGGAAGGGUUCAACAAUUUUUUUAAAUAUAAAUACUGAAAAUUUAUAGUCAAUUAACUUUAUUCAACUUUUUUCAAAUUUUUACAUCUGAACAUUUACAAUAAUUAUACUAUAAUAAUUAUUAUAUCGUUUUUUAUUUUUUAUUUUAUUUGGUGGAAACGUAUAUUGGUGGAAAAGGGAAAGAUACACUUGGUGGAAAAGGGAAAGGUACACUUUUGGUGGAAACGGGCAUCGCCUGUGAGAACACGAUGGUGCUAUCUCUUGACCAGCAAGGAUAUGAGAAGUAUGACGGAGAAAACUGAUCAUUUAAGAGACCCUUAGCUGGUUAGGAGUUAAGACUCUUAACAGACAUGAUUUACGAGAGUUAGCACGAGUACCUUAACGCAAAUCUAUGUCGGGAUCUCGUCAUUGGACUUAAAAUACAGUAGACGCCGCUUAUAAGACUCAUGGAUAUAACGUUCAGUCGCUUAUUAGACUCCAAAUCGUCUAAAUCGUCCGGACCUAUCAAAUUACAUUAAAAAAAAAAUCGGUUAUAAGACUCAAAUUUCGUAAGAUAAAUGGAAGAAAAUAAGCUUUUUUGGUUAUAAUAUAGAAAUAAAUUGGUAUUGAAAAAUUAAACAAUAUUAGUGUUGAUUAUUUGUUGAUAAGUUCACAUUUAUCGCAACGAUUAUCGUUAUAUUAUAUUUUCGGAAUAUUAGAACAAAAUAAUAAACAAACUAAAAUUACAUACAUCCUUUAUAAUUUGUUAUUAAUGUAUGAUUUUUAUAAUAUUUUUAUAUGUAAUAUUUUCCUAUUAUAAUUUUAGUUUUUUUUAUCAAGAUUAAUAAAUUUAUUCAAUAAUAAGUAUGCAAUAUGUGUAUGUGCCCAACACAUAAGGUCAAUCGAUGAUGGCAUGGUAAGAGAAAUGGAUGUUUAUGAGCGUACGGAAGAUCAGCAUUGUUGAGAAAUGCUCACUCUCAGAAAUCCAUUCUCAUCAACGAACGGGUCUAAUUUUCGAAUUGCAAGAGAGCAACGCAAUCCUUUAGAUAAAAAUGUGAAUGUCGUCGGAGUAUGAUGUUUGUUGGACGAAAUAAACUAAGGCCAACAAAGCUGGCGCUCGUUCACUCAUUCGCUCACUCGUUCACUCGUAAAGUCAGAGGGGCGUGAGGUAGAGAGACGAAGACAAUAUGCCACAAUAUUAAUAAUUUUGUUGAACGACGAGAAACGAUGGAGAACUUUAGUAACGGAGCAAGUAUUUAUAGUUAGAAGAACCGUACACUUUCGAGCUUCAGUGGAGAAGUGAUCAUUGGUUUUAUCUAAAUGAGGUACAGCAGAUGGCCAAGUUUCAGAUGGUGCUAACAGGAACGCAGGACCUGUCCACCAAAGUGGAUGAGCAACCAGUUCCGACGGAAACAGUCAACCGGAUUGUCCUGUGUGGGGACAUGGUGCCAAAUGUCUGAGGAGGUUAAUUCGUAAAUUUGGCUAGUUCGAUUUGCAACAAACGUAGCCCAACGAUGGGGAGACGAUUGUAUCCAUGCUAACGCAGUGGUUGAAUCCGUCCAAGCAUGUCAUCAAUUUGAAGACUCUUCGAGUAGGUAUCAACAACGAAACGUAGGAGUUUGGCGGCUAAAACAGAUCCACACAGCUCAAGACGGGGGAUAGUAGACCGUUUAAGGGGCGCUACUUUGAAUUUAUCGGUAAUAAGGUGACAAUGAACCGAAACCACUGUUACUGUUCGAAGGUAUACGGCCGCUGCGUAUCCUUUUUCUGAGCUGUCCGAGAAAGCGUGAAGCUGCACAUUGAUCGUAUUGUCGUGGGUUAUUUGACGAAGAAUGGAAAUCGAUUCAAUCAACUUCAGUUCUGAUUGAUAUCGCGUCCACAGUACAGUAAUAUCAGUGGGUAUGUUAUCGUCCCACGUGAUCCCAGCUGUCCAAAACUGUUGCAUAACGUGUUUGGUCCAAAAUGUUAUGGGAGCCAGCAAUCCCAACGGAUCGAAGACUCUGGAAAUGUCAGAGAAUACUGAUUGUUUUGUCGGGAUGGUUGAUGAUGGUUUAGUAUUAAAGGAAAACACGUCAGAUCUUGGAUCUCAUUUUAAUCCAAGUAUUUUUAAAUCAAAAUCAUCAGUGUCGUUGUACAGAAUGACUGGAGACAUUGCUUGAAAUUCUGUUGGAACAGCUUGCAAAAUAGUACUGUUGUUGCUCUCCUAUUUUCUCAGGUCAAAUUUUGCUAAUGAACACAAGUUGAUGAGUUGAGAUUGGUAUUCAAGGACAUUCUUUUCGGUGUUAGCUCCAGUGAGAAUGUCAUCUAUGAAGGUGUCGUUCGUGAAAAUUGACGCAGCAAUUGGAAAUGAUUUUCCAUCAACGGUGGCCAAUUCCUAGAGUGUCCGAAAAGCUUGGUAAAGCGCUGCUGAUGUGCCAUAAGUAACCGUACAGAGACGAUAUUCCUGCACGGGGGUAUCUUUUGAAAAUCUCCAGAGGAUUUUCAGGUAAUCUCGAUCAGUAGGCCGGACCAUUAUUUGUUGGUACAUCUGUUUGAUGUCUGUCAUGAAGACAUAUUUCCAUAGUCGUGCAUGAAGAAGAACAACUUGAAUGUCAGGCUGAAGUUUUGCACCUGUAUACAUGCUUUCGUUCAAGGAAUAUCCGGCACUUGUGCGAGCGAAUGCAUUGAAAACGUCACGAAGCUUUGUGGUGCUACUAUCAGGUCUAAAUACACAAUGGUGCGGGAUAUAGUAGUGAAAAACGUUGACGACUCGUUCGAGUGGAAUCAGUUCCAUGUGACCUGCGUCCAGAUAGUCCUGCAUGAAAUUGGCGUACUGACUUUGAAGUGGCAAUUCAUGAUUUAGUCGGUUUUCGAGCGCCUGGAAACGACGAACGCCAGCAAAUUUUGAAUCACCUAACAGAGGUGAUGCCUUCCGAAAUGGAAGAGAGACCAUAAAUCUUCAGACCUCAAUCGAGUGGUUGUCAUUUUAUAAUGUUCUUCUGCAGCACGUUCAUCAGGACUGAGAUGGCAAACAGUAGGCAACUCUUCGAGUUCCCAAAACCGCCCAUGGACGAAUAGAGACUUUCAGAAAUGGAUAGAAACAUUGCAGUGACAGUUGAUUGACAACGAUUUUCGACAAGUCCCAUCAGAAUCCAACCGAACACGGUUUCGAGGGCAAUAGGCUCACCAAGUUGACCUGCGGCUUUGCCGUUUAGAAACAGCAUUGGCAAGAUAUCGGCACCCAACAACAAAUCGAUUGACUGAGGGCAAUGGUACAAUGGAUCAGCGAGAGGUAGGUUGGUAAUAUGGCUCCAUUGUCCCGGCAUAAUAGGAGUCUGAGGCGUAGGUCCUGUGAUUUGUGGGACGAUGAGCGCGUCCACACAAAACGAUGUUUUGCAACUGUUGAAGGAUGUCGCUUAAGCAUUAACACACAUGCAGUUUGUUCAGUGAUAAAACUCGCUUGAGCACCACUAUCGAACAAGGCUCUAAUAGAGUGACGGGUACCGUCAGCAGCAAUCACAUCAAGUAAGACAGUAGAAAUUAAUACAAGUUUUGAGGCUGUCCUCUGACAAUCAUCGAUGCGGCACUCGGACCUGCCUCAGUUUCACUUGCCGUGAGAACUGCGGUGGAGGUCGAUGAGCUGUCUUUGGAAUUGAAAUGCAAAAAGCUGUGGUGAGACCGAUCACAGGUUGUGCAUUUGUAUUUCGAACUACAGGAGGCGGUGGAGUGUCCAGAUCCAAGAUAAUUUAUGCAUAACCGAUGCGUUUUAGCUAACUGGAAUCGCUCAUUUGGUGAUUUUGAAAUAAAAGAUGGGCUUAUUCGAGCCAUAAGAGGUUUGGUGCACAAUGGACAGGUGACCGGAUUGAAUGAGCUCGUAGUGGCCGCUAGAACCUUUGGUAAAAUCGCGUGACGAGGUUUUAAACUAAAUAUUUUUUAAGGAGGUUUCUGUUGAGACGUGAGCGAACUUAAAGUUGACGUGUACUGCCCAGCACGCGCUUCCGCUGACCGUACAUGACUUCUCAGAAAUUCAAGAAAAUCAUUGGUAGAUGGCUGAUGUCGGUCACCCACAGUUAUCUCCCAACGAGCUCGGAGGUCAUAGUCCAGAUGAUUUUAAAAAAUGUGAACCAAUAUCGGGCUCCACUGCCGAGUAACAAAAUCCAAAUUAUCCAAAGCAGCAGUAUGCUCUUGAAUAGAUGUUAUUAAAGUUUUAAUAGACAAGGCAUAAUUUGACUUGACGGUGUGUGGGGAUAACAGAGCGUCCAAGUGAAUACGAGCUAAGUCACGCUUAUUUCCAUACCGUGAACGUAGGACUUCCCAAGCUUUUGGAUAAUUUUCCUAUGCAAGAGGAAGAUGGGCUAUAAGUGAUAAACCUUCAUCUUCUAGCGAGGUUUUUAAAUAUUCGAAACGCUCAACGUCAGGAAGAUCUGGAGCAUGAGAUAGAAUCGAUGUGAAAAAAUCUUCAAAACCCUGCCAUUCCGUUAUAAAUCCAGAAAAUGUAGGAAAUUUUCGUUUUGGAAGUUGAUAAUAUGACAAGUUUCCAAAACCACCUGACUGAUUUUGCACUGACCGAGAAUGGGACGUUUCCAUUAUGGUUGACAAAGAUAAACUAUACACAUCUGCGAAUGCAGCCAACUCGUAAUAGAGAUCAUCAAAAUCAGCAGAGAGUUUAAGGCUUGUUGAGUUAUCUACAACUUCAACAGUGACUAAUCUUUUACCAACAGCAUUUUCCAUAACUUGGAUAUUAUCUUCUGUGGUCUGACGAAUUUCGCUCAGCUCUAAUAGCAUGGUACAGAUUUUAGCUCGUUUACCAGGAUUAUGUUUAUCGGCUUUAAACUCACCCGCUGCAACGACAAACGAAGUGAUUUUAGCAAUGGCACGGACGACCCGUGAUUUUGCAUCGACAUACGUAAUAGAAGAUUCUGGAGCCAUAAUGACAGACAAAAAUCAAAGUAGUAUUGUAGCUCGACGAACAGAUACAAAAUGUUAUUAUGACACUAGUAACUAGUACUAUAAGAUAGCGACAGUAUCGUGGUGUAGAUUUAAUUUAAUCUAUCAUACUAGUGAGACAAAAAGUAUUGAACAUGUGUUAUUUUCGGUCAAGGUUUAUUGUUACGAUCCGGUUCGAAGGAUCAAAAAAUGUAUGCGCCUAACACUAUGGGCUCUCGAAGGACCACUCGGUAAUGCCCGAGAACAAUAAGUGCCAAAAACGGCCAAUUCUAAAUCUAAACGCCGACUAAGUGGCAGGUAGGCAACCAAAUAUAUUUACGCCUUAUAAAUUGCGAGUAGGCAAUAUAUGUGCACGACGAUGACACGGAGGAACGGGGAGAUAUAUAUAUAUAUAUAAUAAGGGAAGUAGGAUGAUACAAGCUAUUUUAAUGGGGCCGAGGGGCCCUGUGGUCGAUCCGGUCUGGUGCAAUAACCACAGGGGGGAACUACCAAUAUGGGACAACUUAAAACUACUUAUAACUAAGGCAGGUGCUGGCGGGCUGGUGGCUGGUGGGCUGAUGACUGGUACGACUAGACGACCGGGGCGGCCUCUUACACAACCCACAAUGGGUGCUGGCGGACUUACGCGGAACAGACAGCGACCAUAGACGACGGGUGAAUAGUGAGCUCCCAGUACGUAGACCCAAAAUAGACGGUGUCGUAGGACGGUUGAGUGAGUUGGUGAGCAGUUAGUGCCCAGCUUUCAGUCACACAUAUGUGACCAGAAGAAUACUGAGAAACAAAUAAAUAAAAAACUCACUCAACUGUUGCAGACGUCGUUGAUUUAUUUAAUAUAACAUUUAAUAUUAAAUAUAAUGAGAGUUGAAUAUGUGUUCGCGUCGCAAUGACGUCGAGACACAACAAUAAAAAUAAUAAUGUGUAACGACGAGAGUUGUUUACAUGUUAUUGAAACAAAAAAAAAAAGGAGGUGCUAUUAGAGCGACCGUAUACAAAAAAAACGAUGUAUAAAAGAAUAAUAUACAACAAAAAAGGCGUUGGCCACUGAAUAAUAAUAAUAAGAAAAAUCAGUAAUACGAAUGAUAUGACAAAAAAUAUGAUAAUAAAACAUAUGCGGCAAAAGGCCGACCAGUAAUUGUUGUACAGAAAAAUAUAUAAACAAAGAGAAUAAAUAACAAUAAUAUUCUAAAUUAUAAGAGUUACAUGAUUAAGGACGGAGUGGAAUAUGGGGAGGAAACAAGGUAAGUAAAAGACGGUGUCGUCGUCGCGCAUAAUUACAUCCAGAGAUAAGCAACAUGUUUGGCGCGAACAAUAUGUAAUAUGUGUUAAAGUAUUAAAAUUAAAGCAAAAUAUGUAGUAAAAUAAAAUUUAUAAAUACGUAAUUAAUUUUUUUUUCCAUUUCGCCUAUAAGAUUCAUUUGGUUUUGAAACUCACUUUGUGCUGGUCCCUAAAGUGAGUUUUAUACGCGGCGUCUACUGUAUUUAGUCAUCUUUAUUUAAUAUCACCACGACUACUUCAUACAUUUUUAACGAUUAGUUGAUUGGCUCAUUAGUCACUACAUUAUACUUAUCCAAUUACUAUUUUGCCAAACUCAUGCCGUAUGGUACACACUUAUUGUGCUUGUUUCUUGCUAAAUAACAGUUAUUUUACCAAAAUUUCUUUUGACAAAGCAACUCCUAUCAAUAUUUUUAAAAUUUAGAUAAUGCAAUGUUUGUAAUUUGUGUAUUUAUCGUUUAUAUAAACUACUUAAAAAACGCCAAUUUGUUAAUUAUUAUUAUUUAUUAUGACCAUUAUGUAUCUUUGUAAUAGAAAUUUCAAAUUUGGAUAAUUAAAAUAAAUGAUUAUAGUUUAGAUUCAUUCUAUAAAUAAUACAUUUUUUUUUUCCGAUAGAUUACAAUUACACAUACGACAAAUAUACAUAUGAAAAUAAUAAAAUGACCCAAAAUUAUUUUGUUAAGUUGAAAACAUGUCGGGUUAUUAUAGAAGAAAAAUAUGAAACAUACAUACUAAGGCUAAAAGUUAUUGGAUGUAUACCAUUACCCCACCGGUACUGGAUAAAUGAACGAGGUGAAAUAUCAAAAGUUGUCAAAUAGCUUCCAUUUUCAUAUACAAAUGUGUUUCGUGAUAUCUAUAUUCAAAAUAUCAACAUUUUAUUUUGUAUACAAUUGCAUAUUUUACCGUUUUUUAUUUUUAAGUGCAUUAUUAUUGUUACAAAAUUGUUACAAAAUAAGUAUAUUGUAUGUCUAAUGACAGUUAUUUUACAAUUGAAUAGCAAUUAAAUUAUCUUUAUAAGUUAUAUAAUAAAAUUUUAAUCUAGUUAGUAAAGUUAUUUAGCACUUAUAUACUUAUGGAAUUUAAUAAUAAUGUAAAAAGGUAUACAUAGCCAAGUUACAUGGGCAUACAUUAGAAUGAAAAAAAAUGGUAUUUUCACCCACAAUAUUAUAUAACACUAGCGCAACAACGUAGGUACCUACCUAUUAUAAUUAUAAUUUAGUUAAAAAGUUUAAUUAUUUAAAAUAAAGAUAUUUUAUGUUGAAAAAAA